UUACGCUGUUAUCCUAAGGUAAUUUUUUCUUUUAAUCAAUAAAAUUGGAUCAUUUAAUCACUUAUUAAUGUAAACUAUUAAAAAAAGUUAAUUAAAUUUUUUUAUCACCCCAACAAAAUAAUUUAAAAUUAUAAAAAUAUAAAAAUAAAAAUAUUUACAAAAUAAAUUAUAAAACUCUAUAGGGUCUUCUCGUCUUUUUAAAUAAUUUUAACUUUUUAAUUAAAAAAUUAAAUUCAAUUUUUUUUUAUAAAAGAGACAGUUUAUAUUUCAUCCAAUCUUUCAUACAAGUCACCAAUUAAAAGACUAAUGAUUAUGCUACCUUUGUACAGUCAAAAUACUGCAGCCCUUUAAUAAAUAUAUCAGUGGGCAGAUUAGACUUUAAAUUAUUAACAAAAAGACAUGUUUUUGGUUAAACAGGUG
Molecule: ribosomal RNA, 420 nt
Filed under: Bombyx mori (domestic silkworm)
Lineage: Eukaryota; Metazoa; Arthropoda; Insecta; Lepidoptera; Bombycidae
Description: partial 16S rRNA
Source: RNAcentral